GCAGUAGGCUGUUUCAUCGCUUCAAGUUUUCGAAGAGGAAAGUCCGGGCAACACAGAGUACCAAACUCUCGAAAGGAGAGAUAUUCGUGAGGGUAUAGUAACAGAGAAGAAAAUAACCGCUUUAAUUCGUUAAAGUAAGGGUGAGAAGGUGAGGUAAGAGCUCACCAGGAUCAAUAGCAAUAUUGAUUACUGUCUGUCUUUUGGGUUGCAAAACCACGUAUACCAACAAUUAAGAGCUACUCGCUCAAUGUUGGGGGGUAGGUUGCGAAGAUAAAUGAUGAAAACUGUAAUUCGUUACAGAACAGGACCCGGCUUAUAGGCCUACUGCUUUU
This 332-nucleotide RNase P RNA is filed under the name Bacteroidales bacterium. RNAcentral's name for it is "RNase P RNA component class A". It matches the Rfam family "Bacterial RNase P class A". From Rfam's summary of the family: Ribonuclease P (RNase P) is a ubiquitous endoribonuclease, found in archaea, bacteria and eukarya as well as chloroplasts and mitochondria. Its best characterised activity is the generation of mature 5'-ends of tRNAs by cleaving the 5'-leader elements of precursor-tRNAs. Cellular RNase Ps are ribonucleoproteins. The record is from RNAcentral. Lineage: Bacteria; Pseudomonadati; Bacteroidota; Bacteroidia; Bacteroidales.